RNAcentral lists this ribosomal RNA (406 nucleotides) under uncultured bacterium. RNAcentral's name for it is "partial 16S ribosomal RNA". It matches the Rfam family "Bacterial small subunit ribosomal RNA", at positions 30 to 526 of the family's 1533-position model. The record is from RNAcentral.
AUUGAACGCUGGCGGCAGGCCUAACACAUGCAAGUCGAACGAGUGGCGGACGGGUGAGUAAUGUCUGGGAAACUGCCCGAUGGAGGGGGAUAACUACUGGAAACGGUAGCUAAUACCGCAUACCAUCGGAUGUGCACAGAUGGGAGUAGCUUGUAGGUGAGGUAACGGCUCACCUAGGCGACGAUCCCUAGCUGGUCUGAGAGGAUGACCAGCCACACUGGGACUGUGACACGGUCACGACUCCUACGGGAGGCAGAAGUGGGGAAUAUUGCACAAUGGGCGCAAUCCGGAUGCCGCCAUGCCGCGUGUAGGAAGAAGGCCUUCGGGUUGUAAAGUACUUUCAGCGGGGAGGCGUUACCCACAGAAGAAGCACCGGCUAACUCCGUGCCAGCAGCCGCGGUAAUAC